This 253-nucleotide ribosomal RNA is filed under the name uncultured Desulfomonile sp. RNAcentral describes it as "partial 16S ribosomal RNA". It matches the Rfam family "Bacterial small subunit ribosomal RNA", at positions 524 to 776 of the family's 1533-position model. Lineage: Bacteria; Pseudomonadati; Thermodesulfobacteriota; Desulfomonilia; Desulfomonilales; Desulfomonilaceae. The record is from RNAcentral.
GACGGAGGGUGCAAGCGUUGUUCGGAAUCACUGGGCGUAAAGCGCGUGUAGGCGGCUUGACAAGUCGAAUGUGAAAGCCCGGGGCUCAACCCCGGAAGUGCAUUCGAAACUGUCAGGCUUGAGUACGGGAGAGGGAAGUGGAAUUCCUGGUGUAGAGGUGAAAUUCGUAGAUAUCAGGAGGAACACCGGUGGCGAAGGCGGCUUCCUGGACCGAUACUGACGCUGAGACGCGAAAGCGUGGGGAGCAAACAGG